RNAcentral lists this ribosomal RNA (253 nucleotides) under uncultured bacterium. RNAcentral describes it as "partial 16S ribosomal RNA". It matches the Rfam family "Bacterial small subunit ribosomal RNA", at positions 524 to 776 of the family's 1533-position model. The record is from RNAcentral.
UACGUAGGGUGCAAGCGUUAAUCGGAAUUACUGGGCGUAAAGCGUGCGCAGGCGGUUCGCUAAGACAGAUGUGAAAUCCCCGGGCUUAACCUGGGAACUGCAUUUGUGACUGGCGGGCUAGAGUGCGGCAGAGGAGACUGGAAUUCCUGGUGUAGCAGUGAAAUGCGUAGAUAUCAGGAGGAAUACCGAUGGCGAAGGCAGGUCUCUGGGCUGACACUGACGCUCAUGCACGAAAGCGUGGGGAGCAAACAGG